Molecule: ribosomal RNA, 756 nt
Filed under: Triticum aestivum (bread wheat)
Lineage: Eukaryota; Viridiplantae; Streptophyta; Magnoliopsida; Poales; Poaceae
Description: partial small subunit ribosomal RNA
Source: RNAcentral
AUGCUAGUUAAGGGUUCCCACUCUGGUUUAAUUAAAGGGCUAUGCCCUGAAUUGAUGCCUGGAGGGGUGACGUGUUUGCAGUAUGCAGAUGACACCCUGCUGUUUUUAGAAAAAAGUAGUAGAGUAGCCUUAAAUUUUAAAUGGAUUCUUACCUGCUUUGAACAGGUCUCUGGAAUGAGGAUCAACUAUCACAAAAGUGCCUUAGUCCCCAUUAAUAUUGAUCCCCAUGAGUUAGAAGAGUUCAUUGAUAUUUUCCAAUGUGUGGUUGGGUCAUUCCCAAUCAAGUAUUUAGGGAUCCCAUUGCAUUUUGAGAAACUGAGUAGGGAAGACUUGCAGGAACUGAUUGAUAAGAAUUUGGCUAGAAUAGCAGGUUGGAGAGGGAAGUUGUUCUCUUAUUUAGGGAAGAUUACACUCAUUAAAACUUGUUUAGCUAGCAUCCCACUGUAUUUGUUGUCCUUUUUUAAAUUCCCUAAAUGGGCUUUGAAUCUAAUCAAUUCCCAUAUGGCUAACUGUCUGUGGAGUGACACUGAAGGUGCUCACAAAAUCCAUCUAGCUAACUGGCCAUCUAUCUGUAUGAAGAAGGAGUUUGGGGGCAUGGGGGUCCCGAAUCUUCAGGAUAUGAAUCUUUGCCUGAUUGGGUCUUGGGUUAAAAGAUACAUAGCUGGAGAGGGGUCCUUGUGGAGGAAAACCAUUGAUAACAAAUACAAUACUAAGAACCCAAACAUUUUCUGUUGUAGAGACCCACAUCCUUCCUAG